GAAGCUACAGCUCAGUGGUAGAGUGCGUGCUUAGCAUGCACAAGGUACUGGGUUCAAUUCCCAGAACCUCCA
RNAcentral lists this transfer RNA (72 nucleotides) under Camelus bactrianus (Bactrian camel). It matches the Rfam family "tRNA". From Rfam's summary of the family: Transfer RNA (tRNA) molecules are approximately 80 nucleotides in length. Their secondary structure includes four short double-helical elements and three loops (D, anti-codon, and T loops). The record is from Rfam by way of RNAcentral. Lineage: Eukaryota; Metazoa; Chordata; Mammalia; Artiodactyla; Camelidae. RNAcentral also lists the same sequence under 2 other names.